Spinacia oleracea (spinach) is the source of this 698-nucleotide long non-coding RNA. RefSeq lists it as uncharacterized. NCBI's taxonomy places the organism in Eukaryota, Viridiplantae, Streptophyta, Magnoliopsida, Caryophyllales, Amaranthaceae. The transcript has 3 exons. The record is from RefSeq and is a predicted model, not a curated record.
UUCUCUAUUUUCUCUCUCUGAGUUCUUUAGAACUCUAACAUUCCAGCAGGUUCGGCCGGACUUCCCCUGCUGCAUGACAGCUUCUAGUAAAAUAGUCAUAACUCCCUCAUUUCUCAUCCAAAAUGAGCUUAUGACCAGGCGUUGGAAAGCUAAUGAGCCAAGCUUUCACCUCCAUCUUAAAUCAACUCAAUCUAAUUAGUAGAUCAUGAGAUAUGUCCAUUUGAAGUUAGACCUUCCACUAUAACACCCUAACAUUCUUCAAAGAAGAUUCGAGGCACACAUAACAAUUGGGUUUUGUUUUGUGUUCAAUCUUGAUUACAGCGUAAUUGCCUGAUUGUUGAUGGUUGGUAUUGUUUAUUAUGACUUAUGAGUGUGCAUAUUAUCGAUAAGUAAGGAGGUUCUUCGAGGACAUGGAGAAGAGCUCUGUUAUGUAGUUCGGCGUAACUUGAAGGUUCUAUGUUGCAGUCGCCAUCUGGACUUGAGAUUCUAGACACAGGGACACAACCGAUCUUUGGCACGUUCAGGAAUGCAAAUUUUCUGCCUCCUCUAUUGAGAUUCUAUUGUAAGCUUUCUAUAAUGCAGCUUAUGUUUGUGUCUUCAACUCUGUGUCAUUUGACGUAGCGUGCAUGUUGUACUUAAGGGCUUGUUUGGUAUCAUUGCCUAAUUUCUACAGAGUAGUUAUUACUCGUUUCUGGAAC